This 253-nucleotide ribosomal RNA is filed under the name uncultured bacterium. RNAcentral's name for it is "partial 16S ribosomal RNA". It matches the Rfam family "Bacterial small subunit ribosomal RNA", at positions 524 to 776 of the family's 1533-position model. The record is from RNAcentral.
UACGAAGGUGGCAAGCGUUACUCGGAUUUACUAGGCGUAAAGGGCAGGUAGGUGGUCUGAUAAGUCUGCUGUGUAAGCUCCCGGCUUAACUGGGAGAGGUCAGCGGAAACUGUCAGGCUUGAGUAUGGGAGAGGGUACUGGAAUUCCCGGUGUAGCGGUGAAAUGCGCAGAUAUCGGGAGGAACACCAAUGGCGAAAGCAGGUACCUGGACCAUUACUGACACUCAGCUGCGAAAGCUAGGGGAGCAAACAGG